Molecule: long non-coding RNA, 1187 nt
Organism: Gallus gallus (chicken)
Lineage: Eukaryota; Metazoa; Chordata; Aves; Galliformes; Phasianidae
Source: Ensembl
UUCUCUUUGGAGAUCCCUGUAUACCAAAGGUCUUCUGAAGGAAGCCAGAGGACCCACGAGCCUACUGCCCCCCUGUCAUGGGCACAGAUUUAUCUAGAUAACUCCAUGACAACUUGAGAAUCUAUCAGUUUGAUUUUAAUCUAUCUGAACAGGGGGAAACAAAGUUGGCCAAAAAAAUUCUAUUUAAUUUGAACAAAAUCUCACUGAAGAUUAAAAUAUGCUGCUUCUACUUCUGACAGAAGUUCCAUCUCCUCUUCUUUGGAUGAAAAAAACACAGUUAAUUUCCUCAUAGAUCAUUGAUUUUAGAUCCUACAGCAAGUAAGCCACACUGAAUGAUUAGCAGUGCCCUAGCUCUGUGUCUUUUUUUUUGUGUGUACUCAAUCUAGAAAAUCAAUAACAUGCUGACAGGUAGAGUCAUAUUUGAAUGCAGACAUGUAUUUCAACUGAAAUCCAGUUUUUAUUCUGCAGAGUCAUAGACUUGCUGCUUGGUUGUUUGUUUGGAUAUUGUGAUGUACUAUUAGUGGAUUUUACUGUUAAUCCUUAGAUUAAUUGAUUACAUUGUGAUAGUGAUAUUGUUAUGAAACUGAGACAAAACAAUUGCUUUUAAUAUUGAUGUCAUAUGUCAACAAUUUAUUACAUUCUUCUCCUUAGACAACUAGUUGGGUGUGAGGACAGAUCACUGGCUUAAAUGGCAUUGAAUGUUUAAUUAAAAUACAUGUAUGCAUUUUUUAUUGUUUUUCCUAUGUGUAUGGAAUGUAUGUAUGAACUAGCUCAUUCCACAAUUGAAAGGAGCUUUGCCUAUAAUUAAGGACACAAAAAUCAGAAACUGAGAUCUGAAUGCCACAUUUGCAAUAUAUGCAGUGCAGAUCUUGAAUUUUGAUUUUGAGUUUUUUAUUCCCUAGCAACUGUAAGUCACAACAUUACACCAAAGAGAAAAACAAAAAGCUCUGUACAUUGUAUGCAUAUGGACUGACAUGAUUGUAUCAUAGCUUUGUUUCCAAAAAUAUAUAUAUAGUUUUUUUCCCCAAUACUUCAGUCAAAGGCAAGGACAGAAAGAAUGGCUUUUGAAAGUAUGUACAGUAUGGCUCUCAAGAAUAUCAGAUCUAAGAUAAAUAAAAUCUAAGGUAGUUUCAGGAUAUCUUCAAGAAAUUCUUUAAAUGAAGCACAAAUAAAAUUUGUGUGGGUUU